Molecule: ribosomal RNA, 253 nt
Filed under: uncultured bacterium
Lineage: Bacteria
Description: partial 16S ribosomal RNA
Rfam family: Bacterial small subunit ribosomal RNA
Source: RNAcentral
GACGAACCGUGCGAACGUUGUUCGGAUUCACUGGGCUUAAAGGGCGCGUAGGCGGCUUGCCAAGUCAGGGGUGAAAUCUUUCGGCUCAACCGGUAAAGUGCCUUUGAUACUGGCGAGCUAGAGGGAGGUAGGGGUGCGUGGAACUUCUGGUGGAGCGGUGAAAUGCGUAGAUAUCAGAAGGAACGCCGGUGGCGAAAGCGACGCACUGGAUCUCUACUGACGCUGAGGCGCGAAAGCUAGGGGAGCGAACGGG